AGUGAACGCUGGCGGUAGGCCUAACACAUGCAAGUCGAACGGCAGCACAGUAAGAGCUUGCUCUUACGGGUGGCGAGUGGCGGACGGGUGAGGAAUACAUCGGAAUCUACUUUUUCGUGGGGGAUAACGUAGGGAAACUUACGCUAAUACCGCAUACGACCUACAGGUGAAAGCAGGGGAUCUUCGGACCUUGCGCGAUUGAAUGAGCCGAUGUCGGAUUAGCUAGCUGGCGGGGUAAAGGCCCACCAAGGCGACGAUCCGUAGCUGGUCUGAGAGGAUGAUCAGCCACACUGGAACUGAGACACGGUCCAGACUCCUACGGGAGGCAGCAGUGGGGAAUAUUGGACAAUGGGCGCAAGCCUGAUCCAGCCAUACCGCGUGGGUGAAGAAGGCCUUCGGGUUGUAAAGCCCUUUUGUUGGGAAAGAAAAGCAGCAGGUUAAUACCCCGCUGUUCUGACGGUACCCAAAGAAUAAGCACCGGCUAACUUCGUG
Molecule: ribosomal RNA, 492 nt
Filed under: uncultured bacterium
Lineage: Bacteria
Description: partial 16S ribosomal RNA
Rfam family: Bacterial small subunit ribosomal RNA
Source: RNAcentral